This 497-nucleotide ribosomal RNA is filed under the name uncultured bacterium. Its description in RNAcentral is "partial 16S ribosomal RNA". It matches the Rfam family "Bacterial small subunit ribosomal RNA", at positions 28 to 507 of the family's 1533-position model. The record is from RNAcentral.
GAUGAACGCUGGCGGCGUGCCUAAUACAUGCAAGUCGAGCGAACGGACGAGAAGCUUGCUUCUCUGAUGUUAGCGGCGGACGGGUGAGUAACACGUGGAUAACCUACCUAUAAGACUGGGAUAACUUCGGGAAACCGGAGCUAAUACCGGAUAAUAUUUUGAACCGCAUGGUUCAAAAGUGAAAGACGGUCUUGCUGUCACUUAUAGAUGGAUCCGCGCUGCAUUAGCUAGUUGGUAAGGUAACGGCUUACCAAGGCAACGAUGCAUAGCCGACCUGAGAGGGUGAUCGGCCACACUGGAACUGAGACACGGUCCAGACUCCUGCGGGAGGCAGCAGUCGGGAAUCUUCCGCGAUGGGCGAAAGCCUGACGGAGCAACGCCGCGUGAGUGAUGAAGGUCUUCGGAUCGUAAAACUCUGUUAUUAGGGAAGAACAUAUGUGUAAGUAACUGUGCACAUCUUGACGGUACCUAAUCAGAAAGCCCCGGCUAACUACGUG